Molecule: long non-coding RNA, 840 nt
Organism: Sinocyclocheilus grahami
Lineage: Eukaryota; Metazoa; Chordata; Actinopteri; Cypriniformes; Cyprinidae
Exons: 3
Source: RefSeq, a predicted model, not a curated record
CGUCAUGUGUAAGGAGGUGUGGUCAGAAAGUGAGGGGUGUGUCGUCAUGUGUAAGGAGGUGUGGUCAGAAAGUGAGGGGUGUGUCGUCAUGUGUAAGGAGGUGUGGUCAGAAAGUGAGGGGUGUGUCGUCAUGUGUAAGGAGGUGUGGUCAGAGAGUGAGAGGUGUGUAGUCAUGUGUAAGGUGGUGUGGUCAGAGAGUGAGGGGUGUGCCGUCAUGUGUAAGGAGGUGUGGUCAGAAAGUGAGGGGUGUGUCGUCAUGUGUAAGGAGGUGUGGUCAGAGAGUGAGAGGUGUGUAGUCAUGUGUAAGGAGGUGUGGUCAAAGAGUGAGAGGUGUGUAGUCAUGUGUAAGGAGGUGUGGUCAGAGAGUGAGGAGUGUGUAGUCAUGUGUAAGGGGGUGUGGUCAGAGAGCGAGAGGUGUGUAGUCAUGUGUAAGGAGGUGUGGUCAGAGAGUGAGGGGUGUGUAGUCAUGUGUAAGGUGGUGUGGUCAGAGAGGGAGGGGUGUGUCGUCAUGUGUAAGGAGGUGUGGUCAGAAAGUGAGGGGUGUGUAGUCAUGUGUAAGGUGGUGUGGUCAGAGAGUGAGGGGUGUGUCGUCAUGUGUAAGGAGGUGUGGUCAGAAAGUGAGGAGUGUGUAGUCAUGUGUAAGGUGGUGUGGUCAGAGAGUGAGGGGUGUGUCGUCAUGUGUAAGGAGGUGUGGUCAGAAAGUGAGGAGUGUGUAGUCAUGUGUAAGGAGGUGUGGUCAGAGAGUGAGAGGAGUGUCGUAAUGUGUAAGGAGGUGUGGUCAGAGAGUGAGAGGUGUGUAGUCAUGUGUAAGGAUGUGUGGUCAGAGAGUGAGGGGUGUGG